AUGAUAUUACUGCUAGCAGUGAGACUGCUGGAGUUUGACUGACGCAUCAACAUGGGUCUCAAUGAGCCCUUAUAGUGGAUGUUGGCAAUAAUUGAUCCACUGUAGGAGUGGGAUGUGUAUUAAGAUGGAAUCUAUCGACCCUAGCAGAAGGGAGUAGUCUUAUAAGAUUUAAGAAGCUGAGUCUUUAGAUCUAUGGCCAUAACAG
This 205-nucleotide long non-coding RNA is filed under the name Elaeis guineensis (African oil palm). Its description in RNAcentral is "long non-coding RNA (EGUI_LNC047492)". The record is from RNAcentral. Lineage: Eukaryota; Viridiplantae; Streptophyta; Magnoliopsida; Arecales; Arecaceae.